RNAcentral lists this ribosomal RNA (772 nucleotides) under Dugesia bifida. Its description in RNAcentral is "eukaryotic LSU rRNA". It matches the Rfam family "Eukaryotic large subunit ribosomal RNA", at positions 553 to 1300 of the family's 3401-position model. Lineage: Eukaryota; Metazoa; Platyhelminthes; Tricladida; Dugesiidae. The record is from RNAcentral.
GAUGGACUAAUAAUAGACUGUUAUGGUUUUGUUAGUGUUAUACAAAAUUGAAGUGUUGGUCUAUAGUCUGCAGUGUAUGUAGUUUACUUACUCGUCCCGUCUUGAAACACGGACCAAGGAGUUUUAUAUGAUCGCGAGUCAAAGGGCUGUACGAAACCCCACGGCGUAAUUAAUGUAAAGGUUUGCUUUAGUAAACUAAGAUGUGACCUCGUGGAAACACAGAGUGCAACAUCGACCCGCCUUAAGUUGUUCGCAACUGGGCGGAGUUUGAGCGAUCAUGUAGAGACCCGAAAGAUGGUGAACUAUGCUUGUGCAGGUUGAAGCCAGAGGAAACUCUGGUGGAGGACCGCCGCGGUUCUGACGUGCAAAUCGAUCGUCGGACAUGAGUAUAGGGGCGAAAGACUAAUCGAACCAUCUAGUAGCUGGUUCCCUCCGAAGUUUCCCUCAGGAUAGCUGACAUUUGUUGUUGUAGUUUUACCCGGUAAAGCGAAUGAUUAGAAGUAUUGGGGGUGAAAUGCCCUCAACUUAUUCUCAAACUUUAAAUGGGUUCGAAGUGUGUCUUUCUUCAUUGAAGAUGUGCAUCGAAUACAAGUGUCUAGUGGGCCAUUUUUGGUAAGCAGAACUGGCGAUGUGGGAUGAACCAAACAUCUGGUUAAGGUGCCUAACAUAACGCUCAUGAGAACCCACAAAAGGUGUUGUUUGAUAAAGACAGCAGGACGGUGGACAUGGAAGUCGUCAUCCGCUAAGGAGUGUGUAACAACUCACCUGCCGA